CCACCCAAUGCUCCGCCUACGCCUGACUCAAGGUUGCCUGCCGAGGCGGCGCCGCUGAUCAAGGUAAGAGACAACAACAGUAUCGAGGAAUACUUCAUGUAUGGAAUCUCAUAGGGAUGACGGCGCGAUCUUGGUGUCAAGUGAAGAACGUAGCAAUGUAAAUCCGACGAGUAACACGAUUGCAACACAACUUGCUAAGUUAUUGUUUUGGCUAAGGAACUUAAGUCGGGAAAGACAGUCUCAGGUUACUUGUGAAAGGCCCGUUUCGAGAGAGACGGGCCUUUUUCAUGGGCGUUUUUUACCGGCUUAGAUAAUCCGCGCCGACUCUGUCGAACGCUCAAGGCGAAUGGCCACGAACUUCGACGUUGGCGUGCUGCUGCCGGCGCCGAC
RNAcentral lists this small RNA (390 nucleotides) under Pseudomonas syringae pv. tomato. RNAcentral describes it as "Pseudomonas sRNA P34". It matches the Rfam family "Pseudomonas sRNA P34". The record is from RNAcentral. Lineage: Bacteria; Pseudomonadati; Pseudomonadota; Gammaproteobacteria; Pseudomonadales; Pseudomonadaceae.